Rhipicephalus sanguineus (brown dog tick) is the source of this 390-nucleotide long non-coding RNA. RefSeq lists it as uncharacterized. NCBI's taxonomy places the organism in Eukaryota, Metazoa, Arthropoda, Arachnida, Ixodida, Ixodidae. The transcript has 4 exons. The record is from RefSeq and is a predicted model, not a curated record.
GUUACGUGAUUCAAUAUCAAGUGUACCUUCCAAGACGAUCUAGGUCCUAGUCUCGUGACUGACGGCGAGUGCGGACGUACAGCAGCCUUUUGACAAGACUGUCGCCGAGUGUACGGUACAUUGUGGACUGUAAAGCUGAAGAGUGCGCAGUGGAUGCCUGAUUUUGGAACCGAGUGUGAUCGUCUGGGCGGUGUGUUCACUCUGCGGGGAUGAUGGCCAGAGGAAGGAUGAUAGACAGACGACAGCUUGCAGAAGAAGAUGGGAGCGUUCUACCUGUGAGCCUGGUCGAGUUUAUAUUUUAUGGAUACACAUGCAUGGAUACACAUACAUGGAUUCCCUACAAGGACCCUGCGCAUCAAAAGCAAUCUGUCAUCAAUGUUAAGUAGACAG